GGGGAUGUAGCUUAGUGGCAGAGCACUUGCAUGCAUGACCUUGGGUUCAAUUUCCAGCGCCCCCU
RNAcentral lists this transfer RNA (65 nucleotides) under Heterocephalus glaber (naked mole-rat). It matches the Rfam family "tRNA". Rfam says of the family: Transfer RNA (tRNA) molecules are approximately 80 nucleotides in length. Their secondary structure includes four short double-helical elements and three loops (D, anti-codon, and T loops). Further hydrogen bonds mediate the characteristic L-shaped molecular structure. tRNAs have two regions of fundamental functional importance: the anti-codon, which is responsible for specific mRNA codon recognition, and the 3' end, to which the tRNAs corresponding amino acid is attached (by aminoacyl-tRNA synthetases). tRNAs cope with the degeneracy of the genetic code in two manners: having more than one tRNA (with a specific anti-codon) for a particular amino acid; and 'wobble' base-pairing, i.e. permitting non-standard base-pairing at the 3rd anti-codon position. Lineage: Eukaryota; Metazoa; Chordata; Mammalia; Rodentia; Bathyergidae. The record is from Rfam by way of RNAcentral.